AAGUUGUGAUGUGGGCAUUGAAUCAGGUAUACUUUGAAUCUUUUCCAAGCAUCAUAGAAAGACUUUCCUUCCUUCUGAGUGAUAUUACAAAUUCUAGACCUAUAAUCU
This is a non-coding RNA of Ricinus communis (castor bean), 108 nucleotides long. The record is from Rfam. Lineage: Eukaryota; Viridiplantae; Streptophyta; Magnoliopsida; Malpighiales; Euphorbiaceae.